UACGGAGGGUGCAAGCGUUGCUCGGAAUUAUUGGGCGUAAAGGGCAGGUAGGUGGUCUCAUUUGUCUGGGGUGAAAGCCUUGAGCUUAACUCAAGAAGUGCCCCAGAAACGGUGAGACUAGAGUCCUGGAGAGGGUCGUGGAAUUCCCGGUGUAGCGGUGAAAUGCGCAGAUAUCAGGAGGAACACCGAUGGCGAAGGCAGCUCGCUGGGACGGUACUGACGCUGAGGCGCGAAAGCGUGGGGAGCAAACAGG
RNAcentral lists this ribosomal RNA (253 nucleotides) under uncultured bacterium. RNAcentral's name for it is "partial 16S ribosomal RNA". It matches the Rfam family "Bacterial small subunit ribosomal RNA", at positions 524 to 776 of the family's 1533-position model. The record is from RNAcentral.